UUGGAGGGCAAGUCUGGUGCCAGCAGCCGCGGUAAUUCCAGCUCCAAUAGCGUAUAUUAAAGUUGCUGCAGUUAAAAAGCUCGUAGUUGAAUUUCGGGACCAUCAUGUCGGUCGUGCCUCGGUACGUACUGGUAUUGUUGGUUUCUCCCUUCUGACGAACCAUGAUGUCAUUUAUUUGGUGUUGUGGGGAAUCAGGACUGUUACUUUGAAAAAAUUAGAGUGUUUAAAGCAGGCUCACGCUUGAAUACAUUAGCAUGGAAUAAUGAAAUAGGACGUUUGAUUCUAUUUUGUUGGUUUCUAGGAUCGACGUAAUGAUUAAUAGGGAUAGCUGGGGGCAUUAGUAUUCAAUUGUCAGAGGUGAAAUUCUUGGAUUUAUUGAAGACUAACUACUGCGAAAGCAUUUGCCAAGGAUGUUUUCAUUAAUCAAGAACGAAAGUUAGGGGAUCGAAGACGAUCAGAUACCGUCGUAGUCUUAACCACAAACUAUGCCGACUAGGGAUCGGAUGAUGUUAAUUUCUUAAUGACUCAUUCGGCGCCUUACGGGAAAC
Molecule: ribosomal RNA, 548 nt
Filed under: uncultured Glomeromycotina
Lineage: Eukaryota; Fungi; Glomeromycota
Description: SSU rRNA
Rfam family: Eukaryotic small subunit ribosomal RNA
Source: RNAcentral